GAUUAGCCUGCGUCCGAUUAGCUAGUUGGUGGGGUAAGGGCCUACCAAGGCGACGAUCGGUAGCUGGUCUGAGAGGAUGGCCAGCCACACUGGAACUGAGACACGGUCCAGACUCCUACGGGAGGCAGCAGUGGGGAAUAUUGGACAAUGGGGGGAACCCUGAUCCAGCAAUGCCGCGUGUGUGAAGAAGGCCUGAGGGUUGUAAAGCACUUUCAGUGGGGAGGAGGGUUGAUUGGUUAAGAGCUGAUUAACUGGACGUUACCCACAGAAGAAGCACCGGCUAACUCCGUGCCAGCAGCCGCGGUAAUACGGAGGGUGCAGGCGUUAAUCGGAAUUACUGGGCGUAAAGCGUGCGUAGGUGGUUGAUUAAGUUAUCUGUGAAAUCCCUGGGCUUAACCUGGGCAGGUCAGAUGAUACUGGUUGACUCGAGUAUGGGAGAGGGUAGUGGAAUUUCCGGUGUAGCGGUGAAAUGCGUAGAGAUCGGAAGGAACACCAGUGGCGGAGGCGGCUACCUGGCCUAAUACUGACACUGAGGCACGAAAGCGUGGGGAGCAAACAGGAUUAGAUACCCUGGUAGUCCACGCUGUAAACGAUGUCAACUAGCUGUUGG
RNAcentral lists this ribosomal RNA (610 nucleotides) under uncultured bacterium. RNAcentral describes it as "bacterial SSU rRNA". It matches the Rfam family "Bacterial small subunit ribosomal RNA", at positions 224 to 826 of the family's 1533-position model. The record is from RNAcentral.